Molecule: unclassified non-coding RNA, 344 nt
Filed under: soil metagenome
Description: partial contains 5.8S ribosomal RNA, internal transcribed spacer 2, and large subunit ribosomal RNA
Rfam family: 5.8S ribosomal RNA (bases 1-120)
Source: RNAcentral
GAUGAAGAACGCAGCGAAAUGCGAUACGUAAUGUGAAUUGCAGAAUUCAGUGAAUCAUCGAGUCUUUGAACGCACAUUGCGCCCCCUGGUAUUCCGGGGGGCAUGCCUGUCCGAGCGUCAUUGCUGCCCUCAAGCACGGCUUGUGUGUUGGGCCUCCGUCCUCCUCCCGGGGGACGGGCCCGAAAGGCAGCGGCGGCACCGCGUCCGGUCCUCGAGCGUAUGGGGCUUCGUCACCCGCUCUUGUAGGCCCGGCCGGCGCUUGCCGACACAUCAAUCUUUUUUCCAGGUUGACCUCGGAUCAGCUAGGGAUACCCGCUGAACUUAAGCAUAUCAAUAAGCGAGGA